GCUUGCCGCCGGCUGGCCGCGGCGGCCGGCUUCGGUUCGACCGGAGCCGUGGCCGUGGCCGCCGGACGCGGCGCCGGUCGACGCGGCGGACGGGCA
This 96-nucleotide transfer RNA is filed under the name compost metagenome. RNAcentral's name for it is "tRNA-Arg". The record is from RNAcentral.